RNAcentral lists this ribosomal RNA (447 nucleotides) under uncultured bacterium. Its description in RNAcentral is "bacterial SSU rRNA". It matches the Rfam family "Bacterial small subunit ribosomal RNA", at positions 358 to 796 of the family's 1533-position model. The record is from RNAcentral.
GGAAUAUUGCGCAAUGGGGGAAACCCUGACGCAGCGACGCCGCGUGUAGGAAGAAGGCCUUCGGGUCGUAAACUACUGUCAAGAGGGAAGAAACCGUAGAGCAUUAAUACGGCUCUGCGCUGACGGUACCUCUAGAGGAAGCACCGGCUAACUCCGUGCCAGCAGCCGCGGUAAUACGGAGGGUGCGAGCGUUAAUCGGAAUCACUGGGCGUAAAGCGUGCGUAGGCGGCGUAUCAAGUCAGACGUGAAAGCCCUCGGCUCAACCGGGGAAUUGCGUUUGAAACUGGUAUGCUAGAGUCUCGGAGAGGUUGGCGGAAUUCCAGGUGUAGGAGUGAAAUCCGUAGAUAUCUGGAGGAACACCGGUGGCGAAGGCGGCCAACUGGACGAGUACUGACGCUGAGGUACGAAAGCGUGGGUAGCAAACAGGAUUAGAAACCCUUGUAGUCC